This 903-nucleotide ribosomal RNA is filed under the name Triticum aestivum (bread wheat). RNAcentral describes it as "partial small subunit ribosomal RNA". Lineage: Eukaryota; Viridiplantae; Streptophyta; Magnoliopsida; Poales; Poaceae. The record is from RNAcentral.
AUGACUGUUUACCUUCGGGGUGCUCAAAUGCUGCGCCGUCAGAUCCCGACGAGGACAGACUGUUUUUUCUGUGGGCGUUCGGAGAGUAUUGAGCAUGCUCUUCUCUUCUGUGUCCACGCUCGGGCUGUUUGGGAUGAGAUCAAGGCUACUUAUGGGAUCAGACUGUUCCGUUCAUCUUUCAGCUCUCACAAACAGUGGUUGUUCGACUUGCUCGCGCGAGACUCCCAUUGUGACAUCUCCACCAUCACGGUGGCGUUGUGGCAUAUAUGGGAGGCAAGGAACUAUGCCCGCAAUGAGCCGACUGCUCCUGAUCCGAAACGCACAGCAGCUAAGGCGCAGGCUUACUCGGAGAUGAUUUUCCAGCACCUUUUCAAACCUGGGCGUGCGGCUCCGAGAGCGACACCGGCUUCUUCUUCUUCUGAGUGGUCUCCUCCCCCGCAUGGUACUCUUCUUUUUUCUUCUGAUGCGGCUGUGGACUUGGAGCGGGGCUCGUCGUCAGUUGGAGUUGUGGUGCAGGACCACUCUGGCCAGUGUGUGGCCGCGUCAUCUGAACCCCUUCCUGGUGUCUCUUCCCCGGAGUUGGCUGAAGCGCUGGCCCUGCGACGGGCCGCUCCGCUGGCCCGCCGGAAGGGUUUCUCGCAUGUGAUCUUCCACUCUGACUAUCUUUCGGUGAUCCGAAGGCUGCAAUCAUCAGUCCGAGACCGUUCCAUGGUGGGAUCAGUUAUCUCUAAUAUCAAGGCGAUUUGUGGAGCUCUGUCGUUUGUGUCCUUCAUGCAUGUUCGUCGGCACCGUGUUGUCUUACCUCAUGUUCUUGUUAGGUCUAGUUUGAGCUCUUUGAGCCUUUGUUUUUAUCACUUUGUUCCGAAUUGCAUCCGGGAGACUCUCUGUAAUACGUUUGCUUGA